ACGUACACUCCUACGGGAGGCAGCAGUGGGGAAUAUUGGACAAUGGGCACAAGCCUGAUCCAGCCAUGCCGCGUGAGUGAUGAAGGCCCUAGGGUUGUAAAGCUCUUUCACCGGUGAAGAUAAUGACGGUAACCGGAGAAGAAGCCCCGGCUAACUUCGUGCCAGCAGCCGCGGUAAUACGAAGGGGGCUAGCGUUGUUCGGAUUUACUGGGCGUAAAGCGCACGUAGGCGGACUAUUAAGUCAGGGGUGAAAUCCCGGGGCUCAACCCCGGAACUGCCUUUGAUACUGGUAGUCUUGAGUUCGAGAGAGGUGAGUGGAAUUCCGAGUGUAGAGGUGAAAUUCGUAGAUAUUCGGAGGAACACCAGUGGCGAAGGCGGCUCACUGGCUCGAUACUGACGCUGAGGUGCGAAAGCGUGGGGAGCAAACAGGAUUAGAUACCCCUGUAGUCCCAUGA
RNAcentral lists this ribosomal RNA (455 nucleotides) under uncultured organism. RNAcentral's name for it is "partial 16S ribosomal RNA". It matches the Rfam family "Bacterial small subunit ribosomal RNA", at positions 329 to 800 of the family's 1533-position model. The record is from RNAcentral.